UAGGGAAUCUUCGGCAAUGGACGGAAGUCUGACCGAGCAACGCCGCGAGAGUGAAGAAGGUUUUCGGAUCGUAAAGCUCUGUUGUUAGAGAAGAACGUUGGUAGGAGUGGAAAAUCUACCAAGUGACGGUAACUAACCAGAAAGGGACGGCUAACUACGUGCCAGCAGCCGCGGUAAUACGUAGGUCCCGAGCGUUGUCCGGAUUUAUUGGGCGUAAAGCGAGCGCAGGCGGUUCUUUAAGUCUGAAGUUAAAGGCAGUGGCUUAACCAGUGUACGCUUUGGAAACUGGAGGACUUGAGUGCAGAAGGGGAGAGUGGAAUUCCAUGUGUAGCGGUGAAAUGCGUAGAUAUAUGGAGGCACACCGGUAGCGAAAGCGGCUCUCUUGUCUGUAACUGACGCUGAGGCUCGAAAGCGUAGGGAGCAAACAGG
Molecule: ribosomal RNA, 429 nt
Filed under: Bacillota bacterium
Lineage: Bacteria; Bacillati; Bacillota
Description: Firmicutes bacterium partial 16S ribosomal RNA
Rfam family: Bacterial small subunit ribosomal RNA
Source: RNAcentral